This is a non-coding RNA of Otolemur garnettii (small-eared galago), 70 nucleotides long. NCBI's taxonomy places the organism in Eukaryota, Metazoa, Chordata, Mammalia, Primates, Galagidae. The record is from Rfam.
GCAGUGCCCUACAUGGAAAGGGACCAGUCACUGAGUCUGUAACUGGGUCCUUUCUGAGUGGAGUAAGGCU